RNAcentral lists this ribosomal RNA (270 nucleotides) under uncultured bacterium. RNAcentral describes it as "partial 16S ribosomal RNA". It matches the Rfam family "Bacterial small subunit ribosomal RNA", at positions 84 to 353 of the family's 1533-position model. The record is from RNAcentral.
UUUGAUGGCGACCGGCGCACGGGUGAGUAACACGUAUCCAACCUGCCGAUGACUCGGGGAUAGCCUUUCGAAAGAAAGAUUAAUACCCGAUGGCAUAAUGAUUCCGCAUGGUUUCAUUAUUAAAGGAUUCCGGUAAAGGAUGGGGAUGCGUUCCAUUAGGUUGUUGGUGAGGUAACGGCUCACCAAGCCUUCGAUGGAUAGGGGUUCUGAGAGGAAGGUCCCCCACAUUGGAACUGAGACACGGUCCAAACUCCUACGGGAGGCAGCAUG